This 1393-nucleotide ribosomal RNA is filed under the name Limosilactobacillus reuteri. Its description in RNAcentral is "bacterial SSU rRNA". It matches the Rfam family "Bacterial small subunit ribosomal RNA", at positions 63 to 1430 of the family's 1533-position model. Lineage: Bacteria; Bacillati; Bacillota; Bacilli; Lactobacillales; Lactobacillaceae. The record is from RNAcentral.
CUGAUUGAUGGUGCUUGCACCUGAUUGACGAUGGAUCACCAGUGAGUGGCGGACGGGUGAGUAACACGUAGGUAACCUGCCCCGGAGCGGGGGAUAACAUUUGGAAACAGAUGCUAAUACCGCAUAACAACAAAAGCCACAUGGCUUUUGUUUGAAAGAUGGCUUUGGCUAUCACUCUGGGAUGGACCUGCGGUGCAUUAGCUAGUUGGUAAGGUAACGGCUUACCAAGGCGAUGAUGCAUAGCCGAGUUGAGAGACUGAUCGGCCACAAUGGAACUGAGACACGGUCCAUACUCCUACGGGAGGCAGCAGUAGGGAAUCUUCCACAAUGGGCGCAAGCCUGAUGGAGCAACACCGCGUGAGUGAAGAAGGGUUUCGGCUCGUAAAGCUCUGUUGUUGGAGAAGAACGUGCGUGAGAGUAACUGUUCACGCAGUGACGGUAUCCAACCAGAAAGUCACGGCUAACUACGUGCCAGCAGCCGCGGUAAUACGUAGGUGGCAAGCGUUAUCCGGAUUUAUUGGGCGUAAAGCGAGCGCAGGCGGUUGCUUAGGUCUGAUGUGAAAGCCUUCGGCUUAACCGAAGAAGUGCAUCGGAAACCGGGCGACUUGAGUGCAGAAGAGGACAGUGGAACUCCAUGUGUAGCGGUGGAAUGCGUAGAUAUAUGGAAGAACACCAGUGGCGAAGGCGGCUGUCUGGUCUGCAACUGACGCUGAGGCUCGAAAGCAUGGGUAGCGAACAGGAUUAGAUACCCUGGUAGUCCAUGCCGUAAACGAUGAGUGCUAGGUGUUGGAGGGUUUCCGCCCUUCAGUGCCGGAGCUAACGCAUUAAGCACUCCGCCUGGGGAGUACGACCGCAAGGUUGAAACUCAAAGGAAUUGACGGGGGCCCGCACAAGCGGUGGAGCAUGUGGUUUAAUUCGAAGCUACGCGAAGAACCUUACCAGGUCUUGACAUCUUGCGCUAACCUUAGAGAUAAGGCGUUCCCUUCGGGGACGCAAUGACAGGUGGUGCAUGGUCGUCGUCAGCUCGUGUCGUGAGAUGUUGGGUUAAGUCCCGCAACGAGCGCAACCCUUGUUACUAGUUGCCAGCAUUAAGUUGGGCACUCUAGUGAGACUGCCGGUGACAAACCGGAGGAAGGUGGGGACGACGUCAGAUCAUCAUGCCCCUUAUGACCUGGGCUACACACGUGCUACAAUGGACGGUACAACGAGUCGCAAGCUCGCGAGAGUAAGCUAAUCUCUUAAAGCCGUUCUCAGUUCGGACUGUAGGCUGCAACUCGCCUACACGAAGUCGGAAUCGCUAGUAAUCGCGGAUCAGCAUGCCGCGGUGAAUACGUUCCCGGGCCUUGUACACACCGCCCGUCACACCAUGGGAGUUUGUAACGCCCAAAGUCGG